CCUACGGGAGGCUGCAGUGGGGAAUAUUGGACAAUGGGCGAAAGCCUGAUCCAGCCAUGCCGCGUGUGUGAAGAAGGCCUUCGGGUUGUAAAGCACUUUCAGUGGGGAAGAAAGCCUUGGGGCUAAUACCCUCGAGGAAGGACAUCACUCACAGAAGAAGCACCGGCUAACACCGUGCCAGCAGCCGCGGUAAUACGGAGGGUGCGAGCGUUAAUCGGAAUUACUGGGCGUAAGGCGCGCGUAGGCGGUCUGAUAAGCCGGUUGUGAAAGCCCCGGGCUCAACCUGGGAACGGCAUCCGGAACUGUCAGGCUAGAGUGCAGGAGAGGAAGGUAGAAUUCCCGGUGUAGCGGUGAAAUGCGUAGAGAUCGGGAGGAAUACCAGUGGCGAAGGCGGCCUUCUGGACUGACACUGACGCUGAGGUGCGAAAGCGUGGGUAGCAAACAGGAUUAGAUACCCCUGUAGUC
Molecule: ribosomal RNA, 465 nt
Filed under: Vreelandella stevensii
Lineage: Bacteria; Pseudomonadati; Pseudomonadota; Gammaproteobacteria; Oceanospirillales; Halomonadaceae
Description: partial 16S ribosomal RNA
Rfam family: Bacterial small subunit ribosomal RNA
Source: RNAcentral